UUGAAAGGGAAACGAUUGAAGUCAGUCGUAUCGACGAGAAAUCAACUCUUCGAGUGCGAACUUGUGGGCGUGCGUGAGCUUCGGUCUCGCUGUUUGCAACGUUUGUGCUUUUUGGGUGUACUUUUUCGUAUGAUAGGCCAACAUCAGUUUCGAACACCAUAAAAUGACCGGCGGAAUGUAGCUUCGAUCUCGUAUUGAAGUGUUAUAGCCUCUGGUAGAUGUGGUGAUUGGGACUGAGGAUUGCAACGAAUACCCUUCGGGCUAUCCGUCUGACCUCUGAAGGUUACUUAGGUGCCGAAAGCUUGCUUACGGUUAUUUAAGUUGACAGUCAAAAAGCUAGAACGUGAUUAUAUUCGUUAAGGAUGUUGACGUA
RNAcentral lists this ribosomal RNA (373 nucleotides) under uncultured Glomeromycotina. Its description in RNAcentral is "LSU rRNA". Lineage: Eukaryota; Fungi; Glomeromycota. The record is from RNAcentral.